This 450-nucleotide ribosomal RNA is filed under the name uncultured bacterium. RNAcentral's name for it is "partial 16S ribosomal RNA". It matches the Rfam family "Bacterial small subunit ribosomal RNA", at positions 354 to 796 of the family's 1533-position model. The record is from RNAcentral.
GUGGGGAAUUUUGGACAAUGGGCGCAAGCCUGAUCCAGCAAUGCCGCGUGCAGGACGAAGGCCUUCGGGUUGUAAACUGCUUUUGUACAGAACGAAAAGCCUUGGGUGAAUACCCUGAGGACAUGACGGUACUGUAAGAAUAAGCACCGGCUAACUACGUGCCAGCAGCCGCGGUAAUACGUAGGGUGCGAGCGUUAAUCGGAAUUACUGGGCGUAAAGCGUGCGCAGGCGGUUUUGUAAGACAGAGGUGAAAUCCCCGGGCUCAACCUGGGAACUUCCUUUGUGACUGCAAGGCUGGAGUGCGGCAGAGUGGGAUGGAAUUCCGCGUGUAGCAGUGAAAUGCGUAGAUAUGCGGAGGAACACCGAUGGCGAAGGCAAUCCCCUGGGCCUGCACUGACGCUCAUGCACGAAAGCGUGGGGAGCAAACAGGAUUAGAUACCCGUGUAGUCC